GACGAACGCUGGCGGCGUGCCUAAUACAUGCAAGUCGAGCGGAACCGGGGGAGCUUGCUCCUUCCAGUUUAGCGGCGGACGGGUGAGUAACACGUGGGCAACCUGCCCUGCAGAUCGGGAUAACUCCGGGAAACCGGUGCUAAUACCGAAUAGUUUGGCGCCUCUCCUGUGGCGCUACGGAAAGACGGUUUCGGCUGUCACUGCAGGAUGGGCCCGCGGCGCAUUAGCUAGUUGGUGGGGUAACGGCCCACCAAGGCGACGAUGCGUAGCCGAACUGAGAGGGUGACCGGUCACAAUGGGACUGAGACACGGCCCAGACUCCUACGGGAGGCAGCAGUAGGGAAUCUUCCGCAAUGGACGCAAGUCUGACGGAGAAACGCCGCGUGAGUGACGAAGGUUUUCGGAUCGUAAAACUCUGUUGUGAGGGAAGAACACGUACCAACUAACUAUUGGUACCUUGACGGUACCUCACCAGAAAGCCACGGCUAACUACGUGCCAGCCGCCGCCGUAA
This 512-nucleotide ribosomal RNA is filed under the name uncultured bacterium. RNAcentral describes it as "partial 16S ribosomal RNA". It matches the Rfam family "Bacterial small subunit ribosomal RNA", at positions 28 to 523 of the family's 1533-position model. The record is from RNAcentral.